Alligator mississippiensis (American alligator) is the source of this 5120-nucleotide long non-coding RNA. RefSeq lists it as uncharacterized. NCBI's taxonomy places the organism in Eukaryota, Metazoa, Chordata, Crocodylia, Alligatoridae. The record is from RefSeq and is a predicted model, not a curated record. The transcript has 3 exons.
UUGGCCUUUUAAAGAAAUAUAGUUAGUGUGAAAACAGUUUGGUGGCAGACAUUCUGUAUAGAGAUUUAUACCCACAGUAGAAGAGGUGGCUUGCCUUUCAGCAUGCAACACUGGAAUUAUUGUGUACCAUGUAAAAGAGCAAGCCCAUGAGGCAGUGAGAAUGAAUGCUUUUUUUUUUGGUCCUUUGGUUUGCUGCAUUUUUUUUCUGUGCCCUCACAAUUAAAGAAAGAGCCUGGGCAAAACUCUAUCAGAUCACUAUGUGAUCAUUCUGUUCUUUUCUGAAGGUAAGUUCUUAUUUUAGGGAUUCUCUGAAAAGAGCUUUACUGUACACAUAGAUAGCAUUGAGAGACGAAACUAUGGCGCCAGUGCUGUAUGGGUCUCCUGUGAUAUGCAGUUAAUUCAUCUAUCAGGAACUGGGCUUUGACUCCUUUUCGAGGAGUGACCUCAAGCAGGGCCAGGGCUGGGACACAUUGUUACAGGGACACACGCACAUACACUCAAUGAGCUAUCAAGGAUUAUUCCUGGAGUGAUUAGGAACAAGCUCUAACAUGCCUUCAUAAUAAUGCUGACUAUUUAAAGCUUCUGAGGGCUGAAGGAUCAGAUGGCAAAGGCCAUGGUGUAUGAAAACAGGGUACUUUCUGAUGCUGUGAAUGUGCUAAAAAGGGAGGUGGGGAAGGUGGUGUACAUGUGUUAGUGAGGGAACUGACAACAAGGAGGGGAACAUUAUAGUAAUACUUAGCAUUUAUAUAGUGCUUUACAUGUUCAAAGCACUGCAUGCACAUUAACUGUGGAUUUGUCAGCACUGGUGUGGGAGGAACUGGAGUUCAUUGCACGGUCCCCAAGAGAUAUUUUCCUAUAAGCUGGUCUGUCCGGUGUGCUAAGCUAAAGAAGUAACAAAUAGAAAUGGGAAGGUCCACCUGCCCAGUUAUUCCUCUGGUGUACAAGACACUGGAAAUAGAGGGUUUGAUGCACUAAAAUACUGCUGCAGUGGUAUAUAUGUCAUGCCAACAUGCUUUCGUAGUACAAGAAUGGGGCAUCCCUUACUGCAAACCUGAUGCCCACAGGGCCCAAAUGCUACAGCUGUGGUAAGUAGAGGAGUAGGUAGGUCCAACCUACUGUGCUAUAUCUUCUCUCAUGCCCUAACCAAGCACAUGAGUGCAAAUUAGAGUUGCCCUUAGACCAACAGUAUCCAAACUUGCAUAAAAAACGGGGUAGCAAAGAUGCUCGACAGUGUUGACCAAUUAUGAUGAAUACGCUUCUUGUUUAUGUAUAUGCAACUCUCACGCAUGGCAGUUAUUCGUCCAUUCAUGACAGCUGUAGCUCCAAAGCAAGAUGUUACAGGAAGCUGAUGUAAAAUCAGUAUGUUGAUACUGGCUGGCUGAAAUACGUUUUACAGGUCAGAGAAAUCAAAUGUGAAUGUUUUUCUCCAAAACAUUUCUGCUUUCAGUUCUAGCAGUAAAACUAAUGACCAGGAUGAGAACGAGAAAUGAAAGGAGUGCAAGAUACGAAAGUGGAAAUUUGAUUCCUUGUUGCUCUUGCCUGCAUCAUUUUGGGGUUACAUAAAAAUUCCAGUGUUUAAAUGGGGUCAUGCUGAGGAAGAGGUUGGGAAGCCCCACCUUAGACACUCCUUACGUUUACAUUACUCUUACUAAUUUCACUAUGGUGCAGGAUGAAUAAAAGAGAGUACCAUUGUUAGCAGCUGUGAACCCCAGUGGCCAUAAUCACGGCGAGGCUGAUAUGGUCCACAGAUAGAGGGUCACAGACAAGGAGAACACCUUUCUCAGUGUCUAUAUCAGGCUUUAAGUAACAUGACAAGAAUUACGAGUGAAUAGGAAUGACAGAAGAAUCAUUAUCAGGUGCUUGGGAACUGCUGGAAUGGGUGUAAGUACAUUGGUCAGUAUAUAUGAGGACUUCUUGCACUGUUUCUGUGGGGAGCCAGUCUAAAAGAUUCUGUCCCAUAAAAAAGAAGGUUGGCUGCAGUAAAACUGAGUGAUAUUACUGUCAGAAACAAUCCAGGAAUCGGCCCUGACUGCCCAUAUAAAUCCCAUCUUAAAUACACAGGUAUGUUCCCAUGAUGCCUUCAAUACUGUCUGCAUUUGCAGCAGGUUCUUGUCUGUGCCUACAGCCCUGAAUGGACAUGAUGACUUUGAAGGAUUCCCUUGUUGGUUGUCUGUGCAUCAGUCUUGUUUACCACUGGGUGAGUACAUUGCUGAAGUCAGCGUUACCAGCAUUGAGUCAAUGAUGCUCAAGCAUCAACUUCACUGGACCUGACACUGUAUGUGGAUGCCUGACUUUAAAUUCCUAAAGCAAGUGCUCUACUCCCAGCUUAAUUGCAGCCUGAGAUCUCAUGGCAGCCAGAGGAAAUGCUAAAAGAACAUAUUGAAGGUAUACCUCAAGAAAAUGGAUCCUGAUAUCAAAAGCUGGGAGGAACUGGCUGCUAACCAGCUCCAGUAGUGCUGCAACCUCAACCAAGUGGCAGCCUGCUUUGAGGUAAAGCAUCUUGCCCUCAAAGCAGAGAAGAGAGAGCAGAGAAAGGAAAAGGAGAGAAAUCACGACCUACUCUCCUCUUCAGAAAGGCCUGCAACUUCUGUGGACAGCUCUGUGGCUCAAAGAUUGGACUCUUAAGUCACCUCAAGCCCCAUUAAUGAGCCAUGGUAGAAAUCAUCCUCAAUUGCUGCUGCUGACAUUAGUUGUGGUUUGGGUUUUUUUAGAGCUGGGCAAAUAAUUGCCUUUUCAGUUUACUCAGUGAACCUAAAAAUGAGGAGAAAAGAGUCAUUUUGGAUUGAUCCCAGUUAUUUCCAGUUUCUCUGCUGAAACAGAAACCUGAAAAAAAAACAGAUUGGCAAAAGUAUUUUGGUAGGUUUUAAGGAGGAAAAUUAUGCUUUUUAGAAAAAUUAAAAUUAAGCAAGUUUUGAAGCAAAACACCGGUUAAAAAUUAAAAACAAGCAAGACAUAAAAGUCUCUAUUCAAUUUUUUUACUUUUUUGGAUAUUUCCCCACCUUUUUUUGACUGAAAUAAUUCACACAAACCUAGCUAAAUUCACAAAUUGCUUCAGUUGAUCCAAACAAACUUUUUGCAGUGAAAAAAUGUGUUUGCCCCCAGUUUUGGCCAGUUUACAUUCUUUCUGCCUCUUUCAUGUACUGCUUUUCAUUUACUGCAGAAGGCAUGAUUGUGGUCAGGAGAAGUCCUCAUUCUUGUAACUCUUUUGGAAAAGAUUUACUGAAGAUCUGGUAGGAGAUUGCUGAAAUCAGAGUGGCUGCCUUCAGAGUCUGCCUCGCUCAGGAGAGGUGGCCUAUCUCUUACUCGGGUCCUGAGACAGGCAGAGGGAGAGAGUUGUCAAUUCUCUUCUAGAACCUGCUCCUAUUUCUGACACUGUCCAGGAGGUGGAGGUGGCAUGGCCAUGCCUGGCUUGCUCUUCUCUGUUGCAAUGCCUUCUUGACAGGUGAUGCAAAUCAAAUCAAAUAAAGACAUCUCUGUUGGUGUGACAAGCUGUGCAAGGACAGGGAUUUUUGGUCUUUGCCAGUGGUAGUUACAAUACACCAUGGAUGUUCUGCUGAUGUGGCUUCCCCAUGUUUCAAGGUCAUUCUUCCCCAUUACCUGCCAAGGAUUAUUUAUGUCUCCUUGGCUCUUCUCUGAUUCAGCUUCAGACAUGAUUCCAUGUCCUACUGCUGUUGCUGCUGUAUCUUUUACUUGUCCCAGGGUUGUGUGCUUUUGUCUUUUUUUUUUUGCUGUGGAAAGGAAAGUCCUUUUAUGGUUCUUUAGAACUUAAGGGAAUCUCUCUCUAUCACACUCUUUGCUAUCUUGUGGAGUGGAAGUAAAAUCUCUCCUCAUUUCAGUCCCUCUAAUGUCACAACCAUUCCUUUCUGGGCUUUGUGCUGCUCUUUUUUUUUUUCUAUUUCCAGCCUGUGAGCACAGCUUCUAUACGUGGAGGGUCUGCCUGCAUUCUUGUAUGUUUUGCUGUGGUAAGGCAAUUUGCUACUCUAAGCAGAAACUGGAUAUCUGAGGGGCACCUUUUUCCCCCUUACCCUGUAUGCUCUAGUGUCAAUACCCAUCCUGUGCAAUCUGGAAACCUCACAAGAAAUGCCUGUGUAUCACAGGCAAACUUGGCCCAGGAUGCAAAUGUCAACCCAGAGAAUCUAAAGUGACUCACUGUACACACAUGUAUCUUGAGAGCCUUUUCCAUGUGCACAAUUAACUCGUUGACAAUCCAUGUUAUGUAACCACUGGUCAUGAAUCACUGGGAUUACUGUUUGGAACAGGCCAAGGAAGGCUCAGGCUGUGAAACCAAUUCAUGUAAUUAUCUAUAAUGACACUAAUAUAGAACAUAUUAAUAAUGGGAACUGAUGUGUUCUUUCCAUUUGCAUUGCCCUGAUUGGUCCAGCAGGCAUCCUAAUGUUUUGCUUAUUCUGUUGGCAGACUUGUUUAUUAUCUGCUGCUUCUGUGAGGGAAGAGAAUUGGAAUCUGCCGUGAAAAGGAGAUGCUAAUGGAUCUGGCAAGGUUCAUUGCAAAAUGGAACAAUGGAAAAGGACAAACAUGAAAAGCCCUGGGAGCCAUCCAUGGAGACGAGAGAUUAUAACUUGCACCUGAUGCCCGUGCUUAGAACAGAAUCCAGGAAAAAACCAGAAAACUUCAGAAUAUUGCCAUGUAUAUCAACUGACUGCUGACAAAGACCUGGAAAAAGACAUCCUGUGAACCUCUGCUGAGACAACCUACAAAAUUUGGUGCUGAAAUGAAGAAUGCUUGAAGUAUACUGUCCGAGGCACAUGCAGUCCUUAGCAUAUUUCCAUUGUGUCAAACUGCUCCAACUCAUCCUACCUUCAGUCAGCUAACUGUGAAUGCAGUUAAAAUGCGUAUGGAUAAAUGCUGCCAUAUAAAUGUGGAAUGCAAUGAAAACAAGGGCACGUCCUCUUUCCUUCUAUUGACUUAUUAUGCACUUAUACAUUUUAAGUCCAGAAAGGACAAUUAGAUCAUUUAGUCUGAAUUCCUAUAUAAUACAUGCACGCAGUACAGUUUCAUCAAGUUACUAACCAUAUUGAGCUUAAUACCUUGUGGUUGUCUAAACUAAGUAUCUUCCAAGUCAGCAUAACUUGAACUUUUGCCUUCAAGAGAUUGAGAAUCCA